AUUGAACGCUGGCGGCAGGCCUAACACAUGCAAGUCGAGCGGAUGAAGGGAGCUUGCUCCUGGAUUCAGCGGCGGACGGGUGAGUAAUGCCUAGGAAUCUGCCUGGUAGUGGGGGAUAACGUCCGGAAACGGGCGCUAAUACCGCAUACGUCCUGAGGGAGAAAGUGGGGGAUCUUCGGACCUCACGCUAUCAGAUGAGCCUAGGUCGGAUUAGCUAGUUGGUGGGGUAAAGGCCUACCAAGGCGACGAUCCGUAACUGGUCUGAGAGGAUGAUCAGUCACACUGGAACUGAGCCACGGUCCAGAGUCCUACGGGAGGCAGAAGUGGGGAAUAUUGGACAAUGGGCGAAAGCCUGAUCCAGCCAUGCCGCGUGUGUGAAGAAGGUCUGCGGAUUGUAAAGCACUUUAAGUUGGGAGGAAGGGCAGUAAGUUAAUACCUGGCUGUUUUGACGUUACCAACAGAAUAAGCACCGGCUAACUUCGU
RNAcentral lists this ribosomal RNA (483 nucleotides) under uncultured bacterium. RNAcentral describes it as "partial 16S ribosomal RNA". It matches the Rfam family "Bacterial small subunit ribosomal RNA", at positions 30 to 506 of the family's 1533-position model. The record is from RNAcentral.